This 1078-nucleotide long non-coding RNA is filed under the name Pogonomyrmex barbatus (red harvester ant). Its description in RNAcentral is "uncharacterized LOC105424956, transcript variant X2". The record is from RNAcentral. Lineage: Eukaryota; Metazoa; Arthropoda; Insecta; Hymenoptera; Formicidae.
AUUGCUGUAAUAGUAAGCUAAGUUCCAUAUAACAGGAAUCCUAUGCUUUAGUAUGUUUGCUCACGCAAAGUAAUUUUGAGUUUACUAGUCGGAAAGGACCAGAGUGCAUUUGCAGAUACAGCAAAAUUUUAAGUGAUAAUUUUACUUUCUCAAAUGUUGAAGGAUGUAAUUAGUCUGAACAAUUCAUGAUUUUAAGAAUCGUUAUCAUUAAUCAACAGCUAUGCCUCUUUUAAUAAAGUGAUGAAGAGUACAGGUUUUUCAAUUAAAGUGAAAGAUUUUAAUAAAAGAAUACAAACAGUUUUAAUGGCAAUUGCGCAAAUGCGGGAACAUGACCUUGAGAUGCUAGUCGACAACAUAGUUUGGCUAAUUCUUAUGCCAGCAUACCCGAAUUGAGACAUACAUCGUUGGAGAUGAUGGCUAGGAAUCAUAUCAAAGAUGGCAAUUUCUCAGAGGUGCAUAUUUUUAUUAUGUUGACAUAAAAAUAUAUUUUUAUGUAUUUUAAAUAUUUAUUCAAUGUUAUUCUUUCAAUGAGAUUCUUAACGCAUAUUUUAAUAACAUAUACUUUUAAUUUUUAAGACUGCUUAUUAUCAAUGCAUAUAGCAGCGCUAAUGGCUGAAUAUUUGAAAUUGCGGAAAGUUCAUCCGUGGAGCGCAGAGGUUUUUGAUUAAAUUUUCAUGAACAUAUUAAAAGACGAACGGAAUCUCAAACUUAAUGUUGGUGAGAUUGUAUGUUUUUACUGUAUUACAUGUUUAUCCUUUAUUUUUAGAUGCAAGAUAUUCAAUAUAACGAAAGUUUUUUACUCAAACAAUUAGAAGUUUGUGUCGAUACGUUGGAGAAAACCGAGCAUUUCGAAUGGCAAUUGCUUGGCACUUAUAUUGUUUAAUAGUUCUCAUGUACGAAAAGAAGAAAAAUUACAAAGCUUUAGCUUACUCGCAUUUGACGCAAGCCUAUAAUAAAAUUAUAGAAAUGAUACGGACUGGAAAGAGAUUGUUCGGGAGGCUUUACAGAGUAGCAUUCUUUGGCAUGGCAUACUUUGAAGAGGAGAAUGGCCAAGAAUACAUCUAUAAAGAAUCCAAAA